This is a long non-coding RNA of Lagopus leucura (white-tailed ptarmigan), 628 nucleotides long. RefSeq lists it as uncharacterized. The transcript is spliced from 3 exons. NCBI's taxonomy places the organism in Eukaryota, Metazoa, Chordata, Aves, Galliformes, Phasianidae. The record is from RefSeq and is a predicted model, not a curated record.
AUACCUAUCACUGUAACACUGUGCUUGAGGUCAACUGCUACUCAGCUAGGUGAACAAGCAUGGGUUGAGGGUCUUCUGUAGAAGAGUAUCGACAGAUCAUCUGCACUUAUGAAAGGCGUGAAUUGCCUUUGAAUUUGCCUAAACUACCUCCCUUUACAAGUUUUUCAUCUGUUCUCUGGUAUACAUAAUUAUUUGAAAAGACUUGAUGGAAAUCCCUACCUGGUAUCUGCACACAACGUGGCAUACAACCCCAGAGGAUGCUGUUAAUUCUACAGAACUUGUGGUUUUUAAACAGGCUUCCAGUCUCUCCUUUGAAUCCUUCACGCAUUUUUUGAAUGCUCAUCUGAAGUUAAUCUCCCUGAAUGUACUACUCAUCAUUUCACUCAGUGUUUGUAUUUAUCAUAUUUUGAGGAAGCCCUCCCCAGAACCAGAGAAUACUGAGUGGCAGGGUGGAGAGGCUUGGGAGAGACUUUAAAGAGAAGGACAUCCUCUGUUUCAUGGAACGUUACUCCUGUACAUCUGUAAGAUCCGUUGAAGUAGGAAUCUUUGAUGGAACCUCGGAAGAACUCCAAGGAAAUAACACAUGGUUUAUAUUCUCCUAGCCAGGGAUGUGAAAUAUCUGAUAAUA